Small nucleolar RNA from Oncorhynchus kisutch (coho salmon), 289 nucleotides. NCBI's taxonomy places the organism in Eukaryota, Metazoa, Chordata, Actinopteri, Salmoniformes, Salmonidae. The record is from Ensembl.
GCCCAAUGAUGAGACCAAGGCGAAUGCGAGCCAAUUGAACGAGGGGGUUGGGUUCUCCCUUGUCUUGAUUGGCCUGUAAUCUUGGCAGUGUAGCGGAGAUUGGCUGCUCUGCUGUAAGGGCCGGCCUACAUUGACUUGGCCCCACCCACAUUUUUCUCCCACUAAAGCAACACGAUAGAGAACAGUGGGAGGGUGCUGACAGUGUGACUGUUAAUCUGAGGCAGGGAGAAACCCACCUCUCCUCCAUAUUCAGGAGUCCAUGAGCUCUUAUUUUGUUAAUCUGAGGGCU